UACGAAGGGUGCAAACGUUGCUCGGAAUCAUUGGGCGUAAAGCGCACGUAGGCGGCCUUGUAAGUCGGACGUGAAAUCCCACGGCUCAACCGUGGAAGUGCAUCCGAAACUGCGAGGCUCGAGUAUGGAAGAGGGUCGCAGAAUUCCCGGUGUAGAGGUGAAAUUCGUAGAUAUCGGGAGGAAUACCAGUGGCGAAGGCGGCGACCUGGGCCAAUACUGACGCUGAGGUGCGAAAGCUAGGGUAGCGAACGGG
Molecule: ribosomal RNA, 253 nt
Filed under: uncultured bacterium
Lineage: Bacteria
Description: partial 16S ribosomal RNA
Rfam family: Bacterial small subunit ribosomal RNA
Source: RNAcentral